UUCGGAAGUUGGUGGACUUCGGUCAGCGCGGAGUAUACGCGGCUUCGAAUCCGGUCGAUCGGCCGUCGGACCGAGCCGACCGAACGCACCACACACAGCCACAGCCAGCAUUGCGGAUACGUUCGAAUCUUCGAUAAUCCAUUCGGGUAGAGUCGCGCAAGCAACAACUACACCUUUCAACAAUCAGCAAUCAAAAACAAAACAUCAAGCUUUGGUGUAGGCUGUACUGUGAAGAGUGCCUUUGCUGGAUAGGUUUGUUGAUGUUGAUGGUGGGUUGGGCAGGGCGACAAAAUCAAACUCACCGCGUAGUGUUAAAAGAAACCACAGUAAGAUUUUCUAUAAUUUCUUGAUGGGAGGGACAAGGGCUUUUGUUCGCAAACUUAAUACAACAUGGAUUUUUUCUCGGGCCAUUGUUGCAGCUUUAGAUAUCUACAAAAAGUGUAAUUGUCUGCAACUGGAUUGAAUUCCAUUUUAAUUUAAUCUCCAUUUGAAUGUUCUCUAAAUUGCAAAUCAAAACCAAGGUUAGAAUGGAUUUAAUGUUGUAUGUCUUACAUCAGCGAUCAAAUAUGAUCUGUAUAAGCCUUGUUAAUUUUUGGUACUUUUAAUUAUUGUUUCCAACGCGCCUAUUUUUUCAGUGAUUUGUCUAUCUUAAGUGGAUAAAUUUAGGCUCUAGUAGAAAUCAUUACUCUGUCAACAGUUACGGUGAAGUAACAUCAAAGUUAACGAUAGGAAGAAAAUAGCUUUUUCCUUAGAAAGUAACCUAUUUAUUCUAUUGGAAUCUUAUAGCAACACACACAGGAAACUAAAUACGCUACAAGAACAGGAAACUCUUCUUUCGUUUCAAAAAUCUUUUGCUCGUGGUUGUUUACCACUAAAACAAAUAUGCCCUUAUUAUUUUGGGUUGUCAUUCUACAAGUAUGUCUCAAUCUUAAAAUAUUGGUAAAUUAUAAAGAUGAAUAUUCUCCCCAUAAAAUGUAUUUAAGCAUACAACCAUACACCGAUUAUUAUUUACAUUAAUGUAACAACACACAUUAACAACAGAAUGGAAAUGUUAUGUCAACUAUUAAACGUACGAUUGAACAGUGAAAAGUGUCUCACGAAACAGUUCGAGACUAGUAAACAAUCCAUUUAUUGUCGCCGAAAAUGAACUAACUGCUAGUUUGUGUAGCUGCUCCGCACAUCGUUACCGACAAACGUGACAAACGACAUCGUGUGGAUGUAGCAGGAAUGGGACUCGUCGAAAACACACCAUCCAACAGCAACAAAACAUACACACCAGCAGCAGGGUACAUUAAAAAUUCGUCCAAUGGAAAUUAAAUGUCUUCCCCGUGCAGACCUGUGUCGCGUCAAACAAGCACACAUAAAUUCUUGCUGGACGCAAUUAUUUAUGUUUAAUGGCCCAUUCAACAGUGCCCGUCGAAAUAAGGCGACGCUGGAGGGUGUGGGAGACCACCCCGUCCAUCGUUGCCCACCAAUCUCUCCCACAAGUGCCGUUAGCUUAGGAUAGUUGGGUUCGGGUUACAUUUCUAAUUAAUUGCAAAAUUGGCAUCGCUCGGUUCGGGUGCGGGUGUGCUUUUGCGGCUCGAGUGCACUCUGGCUCAGCUGAUGAAGGGCUGAUGGGAUGGUAGUUACUACAGAAAGGAUCAUGCAUAAGCAAAAUAAAUCACAUCAGCAAAGAAAGCUUUUGUAUUUCAUCAUCGACCGUGCGCUAUUACAUUAUAGAGGAGGUUUUGCACAAUUUAGUGAGAUUAAUUUAUUUCUUUUUCAUUUUCUAAACCGCGAUUUGCAUUCCAGUGAUGGUUGAAUGGUGCACUCGAAAUGUGAGCAAAUUAAAUGGAUAAUAAAUUAUGGUACAGCAAGUACAGGUUUAAUUUCAUAAAAACGAAACCCCAACAAACUGUUCCCAAAUACCCUUUGCUUCUUUGCCCCCCAUUGAAAGAUGUAACAUUGUAACCGCAAUAGAACCAAGAGCCAACAAGACCGUAUGCCAACCAACUGUGGUGAACAAAAAUGCAUAGCUCUGAGCACACGGUGCCCAUAAAUCAAACAGUCCUUUGGUUGAGAAGCAAUUAAUUACGAUAAAAUCUUUACCAAAAUUUAUUAUCCCUGCGCGUAACCAAUAAUACAUUUUGAAAGUAUAAGCAACGAUGUACAUUUUAUAUACCCAUCUUUUAACAUAAUUUAACUUAAUAUACAUCUAUCAAGUUUAUCAAGGCUGGUGGGCCAAUCCCAUCGAACAGUGAAAAACACCGACUGCUUUAUUUCCCAUAAUGCAACACCCAUUGGCAAUGAUUGAUGGAGGAAACAAAACAAAGAAGAAUACACUUUAAUAAUAAAAAAAAUGGCGCUUUAAGAACCGUCCGCAUCAAGCGGCAGCAGCGCCAACCCGAACGAUGAGCGCAGUGCGCGGCAGAGGCUGGCGCUGCGCACAUAAAUUUCGUUUUCGUUCAAUGUUACAACAUUGACCUGAUUAACCAAUCGCUCGAAUCGGAUCCAUGGCUCGAAUGCUGCUGGUCGUGCGAGAGCUGGCUCAAAGAGGGAGGGGAAAAAGCAAAAUAAACCUUUCGCGUACAAUGCGCACGCGGCGCGCGCCGCCGCCGCCAAUGCAGCUUCUUCUGCGCUGCUGCAUCGGUGGUGCAUGCUGGGGCGAAACCUUUGGUGGACACACCACCACACGCGCACCGCUAGCGAUGUUGUGUUGGGCGCUACUGCUGUAAGCAGUAGUAUGUUUAAGCAUCCCUCCAAGCCAUAUUAUGAUUUUAUGGUUCAAAAUGCAUUAAUUGCUGCGCUGCGAGAGCAUUCUGUACAUUAGUGCUGAAGUGAGGAGCAUCAGAAUGGAAACGUUUUAUUUGCCAUUAGUUCCUCUCUUCGCGAUCUUCAUCGAGGUUCGACACUUUUCAACGCAACACACACACACACACUCGGUAAAUGCUACGUAAAUUACCAACGCCACCCAAACGUAACAAUUACGCCGCCUCACAACUACACCGACCAGUCUCAUCUUAUAAUGCUGCCGCUCAACAACAUCUCACCACACACCAAAGCGAUGCUCCGCUGGUUCGCUCGCAUAAGAAUCGUUAAGGUACGCGUGCGCGCGCGGAUCGUGUUGCUCGUAAUUCGCGGGCGCAAACGCGUGUGUUGGUGAACGAACCAGUGUGUGCCACUCAUCUAACGCGACAGCACAGGUACACGCAGCAUACAGCAGCGCAGUUUUCAGCGCGAUGGAUGAGAGAUGAGUGUGGAUUGAUUGCUCGCGACGGCAGCGCACAGUUAGCGCGAUUGCGCGUACCGUAUCGCGCGCGUUGGCCCUCAGAGUACGGGAGAAGGCCAGCGCAAUUCAGCGCACACCAAAUGCGGUACCACACGAUCGCGCACGUCGUUGUUCACGUGAUGCUGCUCUAAGUGGUGCGCGUACUUAGUGCGAUUUGCCACACUAUCUAAUAUCCAGAGCGCAUUGGUUUCGGCCGCAUGCUGACGGUCAGAAUUGUUUUGUGUGUGUUGUAAUACAGCAGGAACAACCAGCUUCUAUUCUUAGCAGCCCGUCGUCUACACACGUGAAAAGGGCUCGAUCGGUUUCGCAAGCAAGGUAUCAUAACCGCAUAAUGCGAUUGUUUGCGUGUUGGAUGCAAGGGCCGAGUGUGGAGCGUGCAAGUGCAAAGGCGCCUUCGGGAGAAGAGAGAGAGCGCUACCGGAAAGAAACGACGUCUAAUCAAAACCACAGGAGGGAAAUUGAUAAUAGUCACAAUCAUUUAUGGUUACUGUCCCACACGAGCUCGAUAGGCAGCGUGGUACAAAUUGGUAGGAAAUAAAAUUAAUGCAAAAUUCAUACAACCUAAGAAUACAUACAAUAGGUUAAAAAAACUAAGAGC
Long non-coding RNA from Anopheles gambiae (African malaria mosquito), 3869 nucleotides. RefSeq lists it as uncharacterized. The transcript is spliced from 2 exons. NCBI's taxonomy places the organism in Eukaryota, Metazoa, Arthropoda, Insecta, Diptera, Culicidae. The record is from RefSeq and is a predicted model, not a curated record.